Molecule: ribosomal RNA, 497 nt
Filed under: uncultured bacterium
Lineage: Bacteria
Description: partial 16S ribosomal RNA
Rfam family: Bacterial small subunit ribosomal RNA
Source: RNAcentral
GAUGAACGCUGGCGGCAUGCCUAAUACAUGCAAGUCGAACGAAAGCACGGGAAGAUUUCGCCCCUGAGGGUAGCGGGGGGCGGACGGGUGACGAAUGGAUAACCUACCUCUAAGACGGGGAUAACAACGGGGAAACGGAGCUAAUAACAGCGAAUAUGUUGAACCGGAGAGUGCACAAGUUAAAGACGGUCUGCGCGACACUAAGAGCUGAAUCCGUGCUGCAUUGGCUGGUUGGUAAGGGAACGGCUAACCCAGGCAACGAUGCGUAGCCGAUCUGAGAGGGUGAUCAGCCACACUGGAACUGAGACACGGUCCAGACUCCUACGGGAGGCAGCAGUGGGGAAUCUUGCGCAAUGGGCGCAAGCCUGAUGGAGCAAUGCCGCGUGAGUGAUGAAGGUCUUCGGGUCGUAAAGCUCUGUUGUUAGGAAAGAAAAUCUGCGUGUUUAUCCGCGGCUAUUUUGACGGUACCUAAACAAUAAGCCCCGGCUAACUUCGUG